RNAcentral lists this ribosomal RNA (285 nucleotides) under uncultured bacterium. Its description in RNAcentral is "partial 16S ribosomal RNA". It matches the Rfam family "Bacterial small subunit ribosomal RNA", at positions 20 to 309 of the family's 1533-position model. The record is from RNAcentral.
UGGCUCAGAACGAACGCUGGCGGCAUGCUUUACACAAGCAAGUCGAACGGUAACAGGCCUUCGGGCGCUGACGAGUGGCGAACGGGUGAGUAAUGCAUCGGAACGUGCCCAGUCGUGGGGGAUAACGCAGCGAAAGCUGUGCUAAUACCGCAUACGAUCUGCGGAUGAAAGCGGGGGACCUUCGGGCCUCGCGCGAUUGGAGCGGCCGAUGUCAGAUUAGGUAGUUGGUGGCCUAAAGGCCUACCGGGCAGACGAUCUGUAGCUGGUCUGAGAGGACGACCAGCC